This 465-nucleotide ribosomal RNA is filed under the name uncultured bacterium. Its description in RNAcentral is "partial 16S ribosomal RNA". It matches the Rfam family "Bacterial small subunit ribosomal RNA", at positions 28 to 507 of the family's 1533-position model. The record is from RNAcentral.
GACGAACGCUGGCGGCGUGCUUAACACAUGCAAGUCGUACGGUAAGGCCCUUUCGGGGGUCCACGAGUGGCGAACGGGUGAGUAACACGUGAGUAACCUGCCCACAACUUUGGGAUAACGCUAGGAAACUGGUGCUAAUACUGGAUAUGUGCCCCUGCUGCAUGGUGGGGGUUGGAAAGCUCCGGCGGUUGUGGAUGGACUCGCGGCCUAUCAGCUUGUUGGUGGGGUAGUGGCCUACCAAGGCGGCGACGGGUAGCCGGCCUGAGAGGGUGACCGGCCACAUUGGGACUGAGAUACGGCCCAGACUCCUACGGGAGGCAGCAGUGGGGAAUAUUGCACAAUGGGCGCAAGCCUGAUGCAGCAACGCCGCGUGCAGGAUGACGGCCUUCGGGUUGUAAACCGCUUUCAGCAGGGACGAAGCUUUUUGUGACGGUACCUGCAGAAGAAGCACCGGCUAACUACGUG